Molecule: non-coding RNA, 85 nt
Filed under: Deltaproteobacteria bacterium
Lineage: Bacteria; Pseudomonadati; Myxococcota; Myxococcia
Description: c-di-GMP sequence
Rfam family: c-di-GMP-I riboswitch aptamer
About the family: GEMM was predicted in a large-scale screen for bacterial structured RNA regulatory elements. Genes associated with GEMM are involved in a diverse array of functions, including chemotaxis regulation, signal transduction, secretion and chitin.
Source: RNAcentral
UGCACGAAAAGGCAAAGUCCCCGAAAGGCGACGACGCAAAGCCAUGGGUCUAAAGCCGCACGGCCAGGAUUGCCAGGUUGCCGAA